Molecule: ribosomal RNA, 253 nt
Filed under: uncultured bacterium
Lineage: Bacteria
Description: partial 16S ribosomal RNA
Rfam family: Bacterial small subunit ribosomal RNA
Source: RNAcentral
UACGUAGGUGGCAAGCGUUGUCCGGAUUUACCGGGCGUAAAGAGCGCGCAGGCGGUCAGAUAAGUCGAAUGUGAAAGCCCCCGGCUCAACUGGGGAGGGUCAUUCGAUACUGUUCGACUCGAAGGCAGGAGAGGGAAGUGGAAUUCCCGGUGUAGUGGUGAAAUGCGUAGAUAUCGGGAGGAACACCAGUGGCGAAGGCGACUUCCUGGCCUGUUCUUGACGCUGAGGCGCGAAAGCUAGGGGAGCAAACGGG